GGAGGAUUACCCAAGCGGUCUAAGGGGCCGGUUUCGAAAACCGUUAGAAGUUUAACAGCUUGCGUGAGUUCGAAUCUCACAUCCUCCGCCA
This 91-nucleotide transfer RNA is filed under the name Erysipelotrichaceae bacterium. RNAcentral describes it as "tRNA-Ser". It matches the Rfam family "tRNA". From Rfam's summary of the family: Transfer RNA (tRNA) molecules are approximately 80 nucleotides in length. RNAcentral also lists the same sequence under 1 other name. The record is from RNAcentral. Lineage: Bacteria; Bacillati; Bacillota; Erysipelotrichia; Erysipelotrichales; Erysipelotrichaceae.